This 72-nucleotide transfer RNA is filed under the name Plenodomus lingam JN3. Its description in RNAcentral is "tRNA-Gln (TTG) (tRNA-Gln-TTG-1-1)". It matches the Rfam family "tRNA". From Rfam's summary of the family: Transfer RNA (tRNA) molecules are approximately 80 nucleotides in length. Lineage: Eukaryota; Fungi; Ascomycota; Dothideomycetes; Pleosporales; Leptosphaeriaceae. The record is from RNAcentral.
GGUUGCAUAGUGUAGUGGUUAUCACUCCAGAUUUUGAUUCUGGUAACCCCAGUUCGAACCUGGGUGCGACCU